RNAcentral lists this ribosomal RNA (744 nucleotides) under Triticum aestivum (bread wheat). RNAcentral's name for it is "partial small subunit ribosomal RNA". The record is from RNAcentral. Lineage: Eukaryota; Viridiplantae; Streptophyta; Magnoliopsida; Poales; Poaceae.
AUGGAUACCAAUAGAGCACCCGGCCCUGAUAAUAUCCCUGCAGAGUUCUACCAACAUUGUUGGGAUAUUGUCGAAGAUGACAUUAUGAGGAUUUUUAGGCACUUCCAUGAUGGGACGCUUGAUGUGCAGCGUCUCAACUACGGAGUGAUCACUCUCCUUCCUAAGGUGUCGGGCGCCGAGUGCAUUCAACAAUUCCGACCCAUUUGCCUUCUCAGAUGUCCGUAUAAACUGAUUACUAAGACAAUGGAUCGGAGAGUUGAGAAGUACGCUGAUAAGCUGAUUAGCCUUUCGCAGAAUGCAUUUGUGAAGGGUAGGAAUAUUGUGGAUGGAAUCAUGACUCUUCAUGAGCUCCUGAACUACACUCAUGUUAAGAAAAGAACUGGGGUGGUACUGAAAUUGGACUUUGAGAAGGCAUACGAUAAAGUCAACUCGGAGUUCCUUUUGGAAUGCCAUAAGUUGAGAGGCUUCGAUGAAACUUGGUGUGGGUGGGUGAGACAGAUCCUGUACAACGGUACAGUUAGCAUUAAGCUGAAUAACUCUGUAGGCCCGUACUUUCAGAGUGCGAAGGGGGUGCGUCAGGGGGACCCGCACUCCCCUUUCCAGUUCAAUUUGGCUGCAGACUGCUUAAAUAAAAUGAUUAAUAAAGCUCAACAAAAUGGCCUGCUGACUGGUUUAGCUGCUGAUCUCAUCCCAAAUGGGGUGGCCGUUCUGCAGUAUGCAGACGACACGAUCAUUUUCCUGGAC